This 235-nucleotide ribosomal RNA is filed under the name uncultured bacterium. RNAcentral's name for it is "partial 16S ribosomal RNA". It matches the Rfam family "Bacterial small subunit ribosomal RNA", at positions 118 to 351 of the family's 1533-position model. The record is from RNAcentral.
UGAGGAACAUGACUUUCGGCGGGGGAUAGCCGGCCCAACGGCCGGGUAAUACCGCGUACGACCUUUUGGGGACAUCCCCGAUUGGUGAAAGCAGCAAUGCGCCGAAAGAGUGCCUCGCGGCCUAUCAGCUAGUUGGUGGAGUAAUGGCUCACCAAGGCGACGACGGGUAGCUGGUCUGAGAGGAUGGCCAGCCACAUUGGGACUGAGACACGGCCCAGACUCCUACGGGAGGNAG